UACAGAGGGUGCAAGCGUUGCUCGGAAUCAUUGGGCGUAAAGCGUGCGCAGGCGGCCGGGUAUGUCGGACGUGAAAUCCCGAGGCUCAACCUCGGAACUGCAUCCGAAACUGCUCGGCUUGAGUACGGGAGAGGGAAGUGGAAUUCCCAGUGUAGAGGUGAAAUUCGUAGAUAUUGGGAGGAACACCGGCGGCGAAAGCGGCUUCCUGGCCCGAAACUGACGCUCAGGCACGAAAGCGUGGGGAGCAAACAGG
RNAcentral lists this ribosomal RNA (253 nucleotides) under uncultured bacterium. Its description in RNAcentral is "partial 16S ribosomal RNA". It matches the Rfam family "Bacterial small subunit ribosomal RNA", at positions 524 to 776 of the family's 1533-position model. The record is from RNAcentral.